This 433-nucleotide ribosomal RNA is filed under the name uncultured bacterium. RNAcentral describes it as "partial 16S ribosomal RNA". It matches the Rfam family "Bacterial small subunit ribosomal RNA", at positions 29 to 507 of the family's 1533-position model. The record is from RNAcentral.
AACGAACGCUGGCGGCAUGCCUAACACAUGCAAGUCGAACGAGACGUUCGGGUCUAUUGUCGCACGGCUUCGUAACGCGUGGGAACCUUCCCUUAUGUUCGGAAUAACUCCCCGAAUGGGGUGCUAAUACCGGAUAAUGUCUUCGGACCAAAGAUUUAUCGCGUUUGGAUGGGCCCGCGUUGGAUUAGGUAGUUGGUAGGGUAAAAGCCUACCAAGGCGACGAUCCAUAACUGGUUUGAGAGGAUGAUCAGCCACACUGGGACUGAGACACGGCCCAGACUCCUACGGGAGGCAGCAGUGGGGAAUAUUGGACAAUGGGCGAAAGCAUGAUCCAGCAAUGACGCGUGAGUGAUGAAGGCAUUAGGGUUGUAAAGCUCUUUUACCCGGGAUGAUAAUGACAGUACCGGGAGAAUAAGCUCCGGCUAACUACGUG